This 378-nucleotide unclassified non-coding RNA is filed under the name plant metagenome. RNAcentral describes it as "partial contains 5.8S ribosomal RNA, internal transcribed spacer 2, and large subunit ribosomal RNA". The stretch from base 1 to 105 matches the Rfam family "5.8S ribosomal RNA", at positions 50 to 154 of the family's 154-position model. The record is from RNAcentral.
GAAAUGCGAUAACUAAUGUGAAUUGCAGAAUUCCGUGAAUCAUCGAGUCUUUGAACGCACAUUGCGCGCCCUGGUAUUCCUUGGAGCAUGCCUGUUUGAGUAUCAUGAAAUCUUCAAAGUAAAUCUUUUGUUAACUCAAUUGGUUUCUACUUUGGUAUUGGAGGUCUUUGCAGCUUCACACCUGCUCCUCUUUGUUCAUUAGCUGGAUCUCAGUGUUAUGCUUGGUUCCACUCGGCGUGAUAAGUUAUCUAUCGCUGAGGACACUGUAAAAGGUGGCCAAGGUAAAUGCAGAUGAACCGCUUCUAAUAGUCCAUUGACUUGGACAAUACUUUUAUGAUCUGAUCUCAAAUCAGGUAGGACUACCCGCUGAACUUAAGC